CCUACGGGAGGCAGCAGUGGGGGAUAUUGCACAAUGGGGGAAACCCUGAUGCAGCGACGCCGCGUGGGCGAAGAAGUAUUUCGGUAUGUACAGCCCUAUCAGCAGGGAAGAAGAAAUGACGGUACCUGAGUAAGAAGCACCGGCUAAAUACGUGCCAGCAGCCGCGGUAAUACGUAGGGGGCGAGCGUUAUCCGGAAUUACUGGGUGUAAAGGGAGCGUAGACGGCGAGGUAAGCCUGAAGUGGAAGCCCGCGGCCCAACCGCGGAACUGCUUUGGGAACUGUUUUGCUGGAGUAUGGGAGGGGUAAGCGGAAUUCCUGGUGUAGCGGUGAAAUGCAUAGAUAUCGCGCAGAACCCCGAUUGCGAAGGCAGCGUGCCGUGCCGCCACUGACGCUGAGGCACGAAAGCGCGGGGAUCGAACAGGAUUAGAUACCCCAGUAGUC
This 442-nucleotide ribosomal RNA is filed under the name uncultured bacterium. RNAcentral describes it as "partial 16S ribosomal RNA". It matches the Rfam family "Bacterial small subunit ribosomal RNA", at positions 338 to 795 of the family's 1533-position model. The record is from RNAcentral.